Molecule: non-coding RNA, 2207 nt
Organism: Durio zibethinus
Lineage: Eukaryota; Viridiplantae; Streptophyta; Magnoliopsida; Malvales; Malvaceae
Source: RefSeq, a predicted model, not a curated record
CGUGCUCAUCCAUUUCUCUCUGCGCUGCGCCGCCUCCCAUUUUUUUUUUUGUGUUCUCAGGAGUACAGAAAAUCAACAGCCCUGUCCUCCUUUUACAUUUCUGUGGUGAUUAAUUAGAAGAGCUGAAUCUUAUGGCAUCCUCUUUGGUCUUUUCUUCCCCAGCUUCUUCGUUCAUCAGCAACAAGAAAGAUUUGGGCUUUUCUGCUUUUCCUUCGACAUCUCAAUUUGCCAUUCACAAAUUCAAGAAACAGGUUUCCAAGAAAAUCGUCUCAGUCAUGGCACCCCAGCAAUCAGAGCGUAAACCAGCCACCACUGGCUCUGUGAAGACUGGAAUGACAAUGACAGAGAAGAUUCUUGCAAGAGCCUCUGAGAAACCACAGUUGCGCCCAGGUGAUAAUGUUUGGGUUAAUGUUGAUAUAUUGAUGACACAUGAUGUUUGUGGUCCUGGUUCCAUUGGUAUCUUCAAGAAAGAAUUUGGUGAAAAUGCAAAGGUUUGGGACCGUGAACAGAUUGUUAUUAUACCUGAUCAUUAUAUAUUCACAAGUGAUGAACGUGCAAAUCGUAACGUGGAUAUUUUGAGGGAUUUUUGCACUGAGCAAAAUAUCAAGUAUUUUUAUGAUAUUAAAGAUCUUAGUAAUUUCAAGGCAAACCUUGAUUAUAAAGGUGUAUGCCAUGUUGCACUUGCCCAAGAAGGUCACUGCAGGCCUGGAGAGGUUUUGUUAGGGACAGAUUCUCACACCUGUACUGCUGGAGCAUUCGGUCAAUUUGCUACAGGAAUUGGAAAUACAGAUGCAGGCUUUGUAUUAGGCACUGGGAAGCUUCUGCUCAAGGUGCCACAGACUUUGAGAUUUGUGAUGGAUGGUGAAAUGCCUCAUUAUUUGCUUGCAAAGGAUUUGAUUUUGCAGAUCAUUGGUGAAAUAUCUGUAGCUGGUGCAACAUAUAAAUCAAUGGAGUUUGUUGGAACAGUUGUGGAAAGUUUAAAUAUGGAAGAACGGAUGACCUUAUGCAAUAUGGUUGUCGAAGCUGGUGGAAAGAAUGGUGUUGUUCCCGCUGAUAGUACUACAUUUAAGUACCUUGAGGAUAAAACAUCUGUGCCAUAUGAACCAGUAUACAGUGAUGCACAAGCAAGUUUUCUUUCUGAGUACAUAUUUGAUAUCUCAAAAUUGGAGCCCUUGGUAGCUAAGCCACAUUCUCCUGAUAAUCGUGCUUUGGCAAGAGAAUGCAAAGAUGUUAAAAUUGACAGAGUAUAUAUUGGAUCUUGUACCGGUGGAAAAACAGAAGAUUUUCUUGCUGCUGCUAAAGUCUUUCUAGCUUCAGGAAAGAAGGUCAAAGUUCCUACAUUCCUUGUCCCUGCUACGCAAAAGGUUUGGAUAGACAUUUAUACCCUUCCUGUGCCAGGAUCUGGUGGGAAGACGUGCUUCCAGAUAUUUGAAGAAGCUGGCUGUGAUACACCUGCAAGCCCUAGCUGUGGUGCUUGUUUGGGUGGCCCUAAAGACACUUAUGCACGUAUGAAUGAACCGAAGGUCUGUGUCUCGACUACAAACCGGAACUUCCCUGGCCGGAUGGGGCACAAGGAAGGCCAGAUAUAUCUUGCUUCCCCAUAUACAGCAGCAGCAUCAGCUUUGACCGGUUAUGUCACUGAUCCAAGGGAGUUUUUGCAGUAGAAACUUGAGUAACUUGCCCACACGAGUAUCUGGAGGCUGAAAAGAAAAAAAAUGGAGAAAGAAAAUGGAGCUUUACUGUUGAGUACUUUUGUGCUAAUUCUCAUGGUGAAGGAUGCUUGCGCCAGCAACUGUCGUAAUAAGAAUUUCGGGAUCAUUAGUAUUAUCAUUAGCGGUGGCAAUGAGAAUGGAUAUGAUGGUGACUGCUGCAUCAAAGAUACUCGAUUGUCCCAAAAGGCAGUCCGACUGUCCUUCCACUCUUAACCUGGAUUCAUCGGACCGGAUGUGCUAUGAUAUCCAAACGAGCGAAGUUACGGCAGAGUAGAAUCCUACUUACAAACUUGAACUGUAGCUAAUGAAAAUGAUCAAUAAGAACUAAAGGGUCGUAAUGGAAGCCGUUGAAAAUUGGUCCUACAAUUGUAAAAGAAUGAUGUAACUAAUGUUUAGUAAUUCUUAAAUGUCUGAAUCAUUUGAGGGCUCGAGGAAGUUAAAGAUGGCAGGAAGAGCACUACUGUAGAAAGUACUUGACAUUAUCUUUUUCUUUUC